UCUGACCACAGGCACAGCUCAGUUCACUCUACAAACAGAAUUAGUCAUGGAGUGCAUGUUCAACAGCACUCUGUAGAACUUUCUUUUUCAGAUUCAGUGCACGACAUCAUGGUGGACAUUCACACCUUGGAAUGAUACUUUUGCGUAACAGUAGCCAAGUUGCUUAAGAACAACAGUUGAGCAGAACUGCACGUCUUCCUCCAAGCUCUGUUGACUGCAAGAUGGAAACAGGAACCCUUGGGAAUAUCUACGAAAAUCAGGAUUCUAAUCAGUUCUUCCUUUAUGGGUCUUUUUAACUCACUUGACCGUGAAGAAAGGGGCUUGAAGCACUCCCACAAUUCUGGACCAUCCCACCGGUCUGAAAUCUUGUACUGCUAGCAAUUGAUGGGGAACGUUCUCUUUCAAUCGAAAUACGAUGUUAAGGCUGAUGGAGGCAGAGGCAGACACCCACAGCUGUGAACCGAAUUGAACUCCUGGAGCCCAGUUGCAAAGAGUAGUGAUGACCAAAGGAAUCAAGAUCAGGCUGGUGAAACCCACAGAGGCAGCUGACCUAAACAAGGGGGAACACAUGAAUCCCAGACUGAUGACUGAGGGGCCAGCAUGGGACUGAUCCAGACAUCCCUCCCACGGAAACUGGGUGACAGAGGGGAGGCCUUGACAAUCUGUGGGACCUUGGAGAGUAGAGCAGUAUUUAUUCCUGGCAUACAGAGGGACUCUGGGAACCCAUACCACGUGGAGGGAUGCUCUCUUAGUCUGGGCACAUGGGGAAGA
Mesocricetus auratus (golden hamster) is the source of this 771-nucleotide long non-coding RNA. RefSeq lists it as uncharacterized. The record is from RefSeq and is a predicted model, not a curated record. The transcript is spliced from 3 exons. NCBI's taxonomy places the organism in Eukaryota, Metazoa, Chordata, Mammalia, Rodentia, Cricetidae.